RNAcentral lists this ribosomal RNA (2712 nucleotides) under Klebsiella pneumoniae. Its description in RNAcentral is "partial 23S ribosomal RNA". It matches the Rfam family "Bacterial large subunit ribosomal RNA". Lineage: Bacteria; Pseudomonadati; Pseudomonadota; Gammaproteobacteria; Enterobacterales; Enterobacteriaceae. The record is from RNAcentral.
CCGGCGAUGUCCGAAUGGGGAAACCCAGUGCAAUUCGUUGCACUAUCGUUAACUGAAUACAUAGGUUAACGAGGCGAACCGGGGGAACUGAAACAUCUAAGUACCCCGAGGAAAAGAAAUCAACCGAGAUUCCCCCAGUAGCGGCGAGCGAACGGGGAGCAGCCCAGAGUCUGAAUCAGCUUGUGUGUUAGUGGAACGGUCUGGAAAGUCCGACGGUACAGGGUGAUAGUCCCGUACACCAAAAUGCACAGGCUGUGAACUCGAAGAGUAGGGCGGGACACGUGGUAUCCUGUCUGAAUAUGGGGGGACCAUCCUCCAAGGCUAAAUACUCCUGACUGACCGAUAGUGAACCAGUACCGUGAGGGAAAGGCGAAAAGAACCCCGGCGAGGGGAGUGAAAAAGAACCUGAAACCGUGUACGUACAAGCAGUGGGAGCACCUUCGGGUGUGACUGCGUACCUUUUGUAUAAUGGGUCAGCGACUUAUAUUCUGUAGCAAGGUUAACCGUAUAGGGGAGCCGCAGGGAAACCGAGUCUUAACUGGGCGUUAAGUUGCAGGGUAUAGACCCGAAACCCGGUGAUCUAGCCAUGGGCAGGUUGAAGGUUGGGUAACACUAACUGGAGGACCGAACCGACUAAUGUUGAAAAAUUAGCGGAUGACUUGUGGCUGGGGGUGAAAGGCCAAUCAAACCGGGAGAUAGCUGGUUCUCCCCGAAAGCUAUUUAGGUAGCGCCUCGUGAAUUCAUCUUCGGGGGUAGAGCACUGUUUCGGCUAGGGGGUCAUCCCGACUUACCAACCCGAUGCAAACUACGAAUACCGAAGAAUGUUAUCACGGGAGACACACGGCGGGUGCUAACGUCCGUCGUGAAGAGGGAAACAACCCAGACCGCCAGCUAAGGUCCCAAAGUCAUGGUUAAGUGGGAAACGAUGUGGGAAGGCACAGACAGCCAGGAUGUUGGCUUAGAAGCAGCCAUCAUUUAAAGAAAGCGUAAUAGCUCACUGGUCGAGUCGGCCUGCGCGGAAGAUGUAACGGGGCUAAACCAUGCACCGAAGCUGCGGCAGCGACACUAUGUGUUGUUGGGUAGGGGAGCGUUCUGUAAGCCUGCGAAGGUGACCUGUGAGGGUUGCUGGAGGUAUCAGAAGUGCGAAUGCUGACAUAAGUAACGAUAAAGCGGGUGAAAAGCCCGCUCGCCGGAAGACCAAGGGUUCCUGUCCAACGUUAAUCGGGGCAGGGUGAGUCGACCCCUAAGGCGAGGCCGAAAGGCGUAGUCGAUGGGAAACAGGUUAAUAUUCCUGUACUUGGUGUUACUGCGAAGGGGGGACGGAGAAGGCUAUGUUAGCCGGGCGACGGUUGUCCCGGUUUAAGCAUGUAGGCUGGUUAUCCAGGCAAAUCCGGAUAAUCAAGGCUGAGGUGUGAUGACGAGGCACUACGGUGCUGAAGUAACAAAUGCCCUGCUUCCAGGAAAAGCCUCUAAGCAUCAGGUAACAUCAAAUCGUACCCCAAACCGACACAGGUGGUCAGGUAGAGAAUACCAAGGCGCUUGAGAGAACUCGGGUGAAGGAACUAGGCAAAAUGGUGCCGUAACUUCGGGAGAAGGCACGCUGGUGUGUAGGUGAAGUCCCUGCGGAUGGAGCUGAGACCAGUCGAAGAUACCAGCUGGCUGCAACUGUUUAUUAAAAACACAGCACUGUGCAAACACGAAAGUGGACGUAUACGGUGUGACGCCUGCCCGGUGCCGGAAGGUUAAUUGAUGGGGUUAUCCGUAAGGAGAAGCUCUUGAUCGAAGCCCCGGUAAACGGCGGCCGUAACUAUAACGGUCCUAAGGUAGCGAAAUUCCUUGUCGGGUAAGUUCCGACCUGCACGAAUGGCGUAAUGAUGGCCAGGCUGUCUCCACCCGAGACUCAGUGAAAUUGAACUCGCUGUGAAGAUGCAGUGUACCCGCGGCAAGACGGAAAGACCCCGUGAACCUUUACUAUAGCUUGACACUGAACAUUGAGCCUUGAUGUGUAGGAUAGGUGGGAGGCUUUGAAGCGUGGACGCCAGUCUGCGUGGAGCCGACCUUGAAAUACCACCCUUUAAUGUUUGAUGUUCUAACGUUGGCCCCUUACCGGGGUUGCGGACAGUGUCUGGUGGGUAGUUUGACUGGGGCGGUCUCCUCCCAAAGCGUAACGGAGGAGCACGAAGGUUAGCUAAUCCUGGUCGGACAUCAGGAGGUUAGUGCAAUGGCAUAAGCUAGCUUGACUGCGAGCGUGACGGCGCGAGCAGGUGCGAAAGCAGGUCAUAGUGAUCCGGUGGUUCUGAAUGGAAGGGCCAUCGCUCAACGGAUAAAAGGUACUCCGGGGAUAACAGGCUGAUACCGCCCAAGAGUUCAUAUCGACGGCGGUGUUUGGCACCUCGAUGUCGGCUCAUCACAUCCUGGGGCUGAAGUAGGUCCCAAGGGUAUGGCUGUUCGCCAUUUAAAGUGGUACGCGAGCUGGGUUUAGAACGUCGUGAGACAGUUCGGUCCCUAUCUGCCGUGGGCGCUGGAGAAUUGAGGGGGGCUGCUCCUAGUACGAGAGGACCGGAGUGGACGCAUCACUGGUGUUCGGGUUGUCAUGCCAAUGGCACUGCCCGGUAGCUAAAUGCGGAAGAGAUAAGUGCUGAAAGCAUCUAAGCACGAAACUUGCCCCGAGAUGAGUUCUCCCUGAGACUUUAAGUCUCCUGAAGGAACGUU